RNAcentral lists this ribosomal RNA (957 nucleotides) under uncultured candidate division CAB-I bacterium. RNAcentral describes it as "bacterial SSU rRNA". It matches the Rfam family "Bacterial small subunit ribosomal RNA", at positions 9 to 991 of the family's 1533-position model. The record is from RNAcentral.
GAGUUUGAUUCUGGCUCAGGAUGAACGCACAAGACGUGCCUAACACAUGCAAAUCGAAUGAAAACAAUUUAAUUAAAUUGUUUUCAUGGUGAACGGGUGAGUAACACAUAAGAAUCAGCUUUUAGAUAAGGCAUAAAAGAGUAAUAUCUUGGUAAUUCCUUAUAUGCGCAGCAGUGCUUAAAAAGGGGACUCCCGUCUAAAAACGAGCUUAUGCCUGAUUAGCUAGUUGGCGAGUUAAAAGCUCACCAAGGCGAAGAUCAGUAGCUGGCCUGAGAGGGCGGCCAGCCACAUUGGGACUGAGACACGGCCCAAACUCCUACGGGAGGCAGCAGUGGGGAAUCUUCUGCAAUGGGCGCAAGCCUGACAGAGCGGCGUCAUGUGAAGGAAGAAGGCCUGAAAUAGGUUGUAAACUUCUUUUACUGAGUAAUGAAUACUGACAACGCAGUAAAAAAGUAUCGGCUAACUCCGUGCCAGCAGCCGCGGUAAUACGGGGGAUGCAAGCGUUAUCCGGAAUCACUGGGCGUAAAGCGUCUGUAGGUGGUUUAGUGUGUUCUUAGUUAAAUUAUGAAGCCUAACUUCAUGAAAAGUAAGAAAACUAUUAGACUUGAGUACGAUAGGGGUAAGAGGAAUUCUUCGAGAAGUAGUGAAAUGCGAAGAUACGAAGGAGAAGAUCAUAAGCGAAGGCUUCCUACUGGGUCGUAACUGACACUGAGAGACGAAAGCUAGGGGAGCGAAUGGGAUUAGAUACCCCAGUAGUCCUAGCUGUAAACGAUGGAUAUUCGGUGCCGGAUUUUAUUAGAACAUUUCGGUACCCUAGCUAACGCGUUAAAUAUCCCGCCUGAGGAGUACGCUCGCAAGGGUGAAACUCAAAGGAAUUGACGGGGGCUCGCACAAGCGGUGGAGCAUGUGGUUUAAUUCGAUGCAAAGCGAAGAACCUUACCAGGGCUUGACAGUAUG